GAUGAACGCUGGCGGCGUGCCUAGUACAUGCAAGUCGAGCGAACGGACGAGAAGCUUGCUUCUCUGAUGUUAGCGGCGGACGGGUGAGUAACACGUGGAUAACCUACCUAUAAGACUGGGAUAACUUCGGGAAACCGGAGCUAAUACCGGAUGAUAUUUUGAACCGCAUGGUUCAAAAGUGAAAGACGGUCUUGCUGUCACUUAUAGAUGGAUCCGCGCUGCAUUAGCUAGUUGGUAAGGUAACGGCUUACCAAGGCAACGAUGGAUAGCCGACCUGAGAGGGUGACCGGCCACAUGGGGACGGAGAUACGGGCCAGACUCAUAGGGGAGGCAGCAGUGGGGAAUAUUGCACAAUGGGCGGAAGCCUGAUGCAGCAGCGCCGCGUGCGGGAUGACGGCAUUCGGGUUGUAAACCGAUUUCGCCGGUGACGAAGCGUGAGUGACGGUAAUGGGUAAAGAAGCACCGGCUAACUACGUG
RNAcentral lists this ribosomal RNA (477 nucleotides) under uncultured bacterium. Its description in RNAcentral is "partial 16S ribosomal RNA". It matches the Rfam family "Bacterial small subunit ribosomal RNA", at positions 28 to 507 of the family's 1533-position model. The record is from RNAcentral.